UUAAGUUCAGCGGGUAUUCCUACCUGAUCCGAGGUCAACCUUUGAAAGUUUUGGGGGUUUAGCGGCUGGUGCGCGCCGGUGACGGGCCGAGCGAGGGUUCGCGUUUUACCGCGUUUUUACUGCGCUCAGUGUACCGACGAGCCCGCCGAUGAACUUGGGGGCCCCAGGCCGCGGGGGACCCGGGCGCCCCAACACCAAGC
RNAcentral lists this unclassified non-coding RNA (200 nucleotides) under Magnaporthaceae sp. Its description in RNAcentral is "partial internal transcribed spacer 2". The record is from RNAcentral. Lineage: Eukaryota; Fungi; Ascomycota; Sordariomycetes; Magnaporthales; Magnaporthaceae.